Molecule: ribosomal RNA, 508 nt
Filed under: Potamoglanis sp. UFRJ_9708
Lineage: Eukaryota; Metazoa; Chordata; Actinopteri; Siluriformes; Trichomycteridae
Description: partial 16S ribosomal RNA
Rfam family: Bacterial large subunit ribosomal RNA
Source: RNAcentral
CAAUACAAAAUAUAAGAGGUCUUGCCUGCCCAGUGACUACAAGUUAAACGGCCGCGGUAUUUUGACCGUGCAAAGGUAGCGCAAUCACUUGUCUUUUAAAUGAAGACCUGUAUGAAUGGUGGAACGAGGGCUUAACUGUCUCCCUACUCAAGUCAAUGAAAUUGAUCUCCCCGUGCAGAAGCGGGCAUGAAACUACAAGACGAGAAGACCCUUUGGAGCUUAAGAUGAAAAAUCAACUAUGUCAAGAGCACCUAAACUAAAUAAUUAAUGAUUAACAUCUUCGGUUGGGGCGACCACGGGAGACAACAAAGCUCCCAUGCGGACUGGGAUAAAUCCCAAAACUAAGAGAGACACCUCUAAGUCGCAGAACAUCUGACCACAUAGAUCCGGCGACCGCCGAUCAACGAACCAAGUUACCCUAGGGAUAACAGCGCAAUCCUCUUCCAGAGUCCAUAUCGACAAGAGGGUUUACGACCUCGAUGUUGGAUCAGGACAUCCUAAUGGUGCA